Molecule: ribosomal RNA, 120 nt
Filed under: Ophiostoma piceae UAMH 11346
Lineage: Eukaryota; Fungi; Ascomycota; Sordariomycetes; Ophiostomatales; Ophiostomataceae
Source: RNAcentral
ACGUACGGCCAUAGAUACUGGAAAGCACGGGAUCCCGUCCGCUCUCCCCUAGUUAAACCAGUAAUCGGCGGAUUAGUAGUUGGGUCGGUGACGACCAGCGAAUACCCUCUGCUGUACGUG